GGGCGAGAGCUGACGGGAGAUGGAGGGGCGGGAGAGCGCCGGUCCGGGGAGCUGCGCGGCGCCCGGUGCAUCGGAGCGAGGUUGUUGAGGCGACGGAAGAGGGACAGGAAACUGCAAACUCUGCCGAACCCCCCUCGGGCUCCCGGCCCGCAGGGAGGAGAAGGAGGAAAGGGUCGAGCCCCGGGCCUGCUGUGCAAGGGUGCAUCAGCACUCCUGAAAGAGAAGUUGAGCUGAGCAGAAGAUUUUUCGAACUGCCUGUCUGUGCCAAGCGAAUCACAUGUGUUGGUGGCCCGUGUGAUGCGCUUGUUCACCAGCAACAAGAAGUCACAGUCAUGAAUUUUAACACUGAGCUCAUACUGUGCUAAUCAUUUCCUAGAGCUUGUAUCAAGAACUGUUUGAAUUAAAGAGCAGCUUGUUGCUCCACACCAGUUAAAUGAA
This is a long non-coding RNA of Aquila chrysaetos chrysaetos, 438 nucleotides long. RefSeq lists it as uncharacterized. The transcript has 2 exons. NCBI's taxonomy places the organism in Eukaryota, Metazoa, Chordata, Aves, Accipitriformes, Accipitridae. The record is from RefSeq and is a predicted model, not a curated record.